Molecule: long non-coding RNA, 756 nt
Organism: Rhincodon typus (whale shark)
Lineage: Eukaryota; Metazoa; Chordata; Chondrichthyes; Orectolobiformes; Rhincodontidae
Exons: 3
Source: RefSeq, a predicted model, not a curated record
AAUUGUUCUGGAGAUUGAGCUAUCAUCAGUGAACAUCCUCACCUUAUUAUGAAGGGAAAGUCAUUGAUGAAGCAGCUGAAAUGGUUGGUCCUGGGAAACUAUUCUGAGGAAUUCCUGCAGAGAUGUUUGGGUGCUGAGAUAACUGAUCUUCAACAACAAUAACCAACUUGUGCCAGAUGGUCUCAAAUGCUGCUACUUGAGUUAACGACAUCAAGAGGAGAAAGGCUGCAACUGGGAGGUGGCACUAUUUAAAGGAACUGACAGUAUGCAGGAUUCUUGCAAGCCUCCAAAGAUAAUGACAUGUUCAGGAAUAUAGACAUGAAAGAUCCCACGAUUUACAACAGUGACAGGAUUCAACGGCUUGAGUUGCAUUCGGAAGAAAAGCCAAUUUAUGGUUUGAUGUUAUAUGAUGUUAAUGAAUUUCUAACCAAGAAAGAAAGAGAGGAGGGUACACCUGCAUAAAACGAAAAGAUUUUGAAAUUCAGGUGAUGAAAUGAUGCCAAUGAUGUCUUUGUACUUUAUAGAAUGUUCCAUAUAUAUGAAUUCAGGAUCAGUCAGAAUUAGGGACUGUAAGGGUAAUUCUGGGGAUUCAAGCUCCAGACAGGAAACUUAGUCUGUCAACAGCUUAUUCUGGGAAUCAGACCACAGCAGGCAACAGAUUCUUAGGGAUUUUCUAUCCAUGAAAUCCUGCAUAGUUUGAUAAUCUCUGUCUUCAAAAUCUCACAAUAAGCAUUGGAGAGAGAAAGCUAUGUGCUG